RNAcentral lists this long non-coding RNA (754 nucleotides) under Patiria miniata (bat star). Its description in RNAcentral is "uncharacterized LOC119729786, transcript variant X3". Lineage: Eukaryota; Metazoa; Echinodermata; Asteroidea; Valvatida; Asterinidae. The record is from RNAcentral.
GAUAUGGGUUUUUGGGUUUAAAAUAAUGAAUAAUUCAUAAGGAGCAUGAAUAAUGCAAUGUUAUUUUCUGGCUGUUCCUUUUAGUGUACUUACCCCGCCAGCCUAAUUGCCCUAGUUAACAAGUUUGGACAUAUGUUCGUCGACAUUUAGGUCAUUUGAUAAUUCUAUCUUGAGAAUGAUUAUUUGGUAACAGUAUGUCAUCAUCAUUGUCAGUAAUCAAAGUCAACACUCCUUCUGAGUCAAUUUUAUGCGCGACGAGGGGUUGUGGUCAUUGCAUUACGGUAAGAGCGCUACCGCUCACAUGGUUUGUCCUCUUGCGAGCGGGCCGUGAAAGAAGCUCAGACCGAGCCAACCUUUGUCUAAAAGUCGCCCACUUUUCCCUCAUUUUUGGGCUGAGACAUUGCUGUCACAAGCUUUGAAGGUUGACAUCUCAAGUGCAUUACAGGCCUUCUCUAUUUUAUAUCAGGCUGAGACAUUGCUGUCACAAGCUUUGAAGGUUGACAUCUCAAGUGCAUUACAGGCCUUCUCUAUUUUAUAUCAGGGGUCUUCUUUUAUGGUCUUCAUUGUCGUCUUAUUGGAAUCUUUGUUCGGAUCUUCAUUUGGAUUAUUUUGUAUAAUUGGAGAAAGUGAAUUAAAUUAAAACUUAAUCAAGUGAAUCAGUGUAAACAACCGUCUGAGUGUUCCAGUUCAAUUCUACUUGCUUUCCACCUUACUCUAUCUUCAUGAGGGUGAACCUGACCACCCUUAUCAUCGU